GAUGAAGAACGCAGCGAAAUGCGAUAAGUAAUGUGAAUUGCAGAAUUCAGUGAAUCAUCGAAUCUUUGAACGCACAUUGCGCCCGCCAGUAUUCUGGCGGGCAUGCCUGUUCGAGCGUCAUUUCAACCAUCAAGCCCCCGGCUUGUGUUGGGGACCUGCGGCUGCCGCAGGCCCUGAAAACCAGUGGCGGGCUCGCUGUCACACCGAGCGUAGUAGAUUUUCAUCUCGCUCAGGGCGUGCUGCGGGUUCCGGCCGUAAAAAGCCUUAUUUACCCAAGGUUGACCUCGGAUCAGGUAGGAAUACCCGCUGAACUUAAGCAUAUCAAUAAGCGGAGGA
RNAcentral lists this unclassified non-coding RNA (336 nucleotides) under soil metagenome. Its description in RNAcentral is "partial contains 5.8S ribosomal RNA, internal transcribed spacer 2, and large subunit ribosomal RNA". The stretch from base 1 to 120 matches the Rfam family "5.8S ribosomal RNA", at positions 35 to 154 of the family's 154-position model. The record is from RNAcentral.